UGCUAAUCUGUUAAACUAGCAGGACCAUCCCGAUUGAUUCCCACUUCUUGGGGCCAUUGACAUGGUUAUUUGCUAUACAGCUAUUUAAGGGGAUUAAGUUUUCACUAGAACAGACCCACGUGAUCUUUGGAGAGAAUGAGACCUGAUUCGGAUCUGAUCUGGAAAAAACUCUGGUGAUGAAAUCUACAGCAUAAGCCAGUCAUCAGUAAACCAUCACGACGACAGAUCUCUGCCGUGUGAAAUCGGGGGUGACCCCCGUCCCCAACAGACUCAUCCCUCUGUCACGCCCCCCUUCAGCAGUUCUGGGGCGACCCCCAGCACCGCUGCAGUCUGAGAGCCAGGCAUAUUUUUGAGCUUCUCAGUGCGGCCGUAGAGCAGCUCUGGGUUGACCCCGUCCCAGACACACUCCAAACGAGUUGCCAUACCGAUCUCCCUCACGAUCACCGCGCUGCUACCGUCAACUUUAUGGUUACACCAACUGAAUAAGCUGGAGGCGUCUGAUAGCGGUGUGGUUUUCUCCAGCAGUGAGACAUUUUUGAUUUCCUUUCUAUUUUCUUGUGAUGGGGUGAUUUCAUAAACGGUCAAACAUGGGUGAUUUAGCAGCUGGAGAAACGUCGUUUCUGCAUUGUUUGAAUGGUAUAAUCCCCCUAAGCGAAGAU
Long non-coding RNA from Trematomus bernacchii (emerald rockcod), 659 nucleotides. RefSeq lists it as uncharacterized. Lineage: Eukaryota; Metazoa; Chordata; Actinopteri; Perciformes; Nototheniidae. The transcript has 3 exons. The record is from RefSeq and is a predicted model, not a curated record.